UAUCGGUGGACGUUUAGACAAAGGACCGUAUGGGAUGUAAUGUAGAGAUUAGAUCCAAACAUCCCCAAUGAUGUUGGCUUUUUUUGCUCGACGCCGAAACCCUUUGAGUGCCAGAUGGGCUCACGCUGCUUACCACACCUCAGUUUAAAAGACUACACAUUGACGUAAGACGUGAUGCUUUACACCUUCUUCUCAUCCGUAGAAACGUGUGCUCUCUGUACCCUGUAUUUUUGUCAAAUCUCAGUCUGCCUAACAGGAAAGGAUUAUUGCACCUGAAAUGGUUUAUCAUUUUAAAUUGCACUAUGAACGCAUCUCAGUAAUUGUAAGUCUCAUGUGGAAGGGAUUGUUCUAUCUUACUACGUGUUUUCUGAAGACUCUGAAAUGUUUUCUAUGGUCUAGGAGAAACUAACAAGUUUGUGAUUGUGUGUAUUCUCAUGGGGCAUUAAGGAGUCGCCAGUGGGCACCAAGUCCAAAACAUCUCUCAUAGUCCAGUUAUUUUGGACAAAAAUGGAUGUCUCGCCACUAACUGUGCCGAUCUAGCUUAUUAGGGUCACUUGUGUGUUAGCUUUAGGCUCUCUUUGAUUAAAACCUCAUCUGCUUCUGUGUAAUAGUGCAUUUAAAGCCCUAUGCUCAACUAAAUCUUAAGUAAUUAAGGGUAGUUUGUGAAUAUCUAUAUGAGUGAUUGUGCCCUUGCUGCCUUACCAGGGACAUACAAACAACCUCCGUCCAACUAGACUGUUGGAAAAUAGCGUAGUAUAAGAAGUUUUAGAUUACAUUAAUGGCAAUUGGGUGUUUGCCACACCAGUUUAUAUGUAGUCAAGUGUUGAGUGUAGAGAGAUUGAAACUCCAGAAAAGGUUUUAAAAGUGAUCCUAACAUUAUGGGUCAAAGGAAUAGCACAUUGAAUAAAUCCAUUGGGUGGUACGAUGAUUUUUUCCUCAACAGGAUAACUUCUCAAAUAUAAAAUGUUUUGUUCCAAAUUUACAAUGUUAGUCGCAAUUACUACUCUUGGUAGACAACAGUAGUUACCCGAUACACACAAAAUAGUUCUGUAGCAGACUUUGCCUUUCCAGAGAGCUGGCGUUCUUAAAACUAACCGCGUUCGUUGGAUCGGGGAUAAAUCGCCACGCUCACAGUUCAUCCGUCCCAGCACUGCAGACAACCACCUUUGGGAUCUUUACACUAUACAUUUCCUUUCUUAGGAUGCCAAAUGUAUAUUGACGCUUUUUUUUCUUCAUUUAUAUUUCAAUUUAGCAGUAUUGAUAUGUACAUUUUGUUAACCCUUUGAGUGCUAGAGGUGUAGGCAGCUCUUACACUCUGGCACUAGAGGGAAUGCUUUUUUUUAUUAUUAUUUGUCAGUGUUUACAGGUUAUUUUUGUUUCCAAUCUUACAUUAUGUGUUCUACUUUGGAGAGUUUGUGUAACUGCCUUUUUUUUUUUGUAGACAUGAUAUAUAUAAUGAUAUAUUAGAUUAUUAGCAUGCUCGCUUUGCUAUGAGAUGUGUUGAGGGAGAAGUUAAUGGAUGUUUGCUAUCGUGUGCUCCUGUUGAAUUCUACAAACCUAAAAAUGCCCCGUUACUGACUUUUACCUUAAACUUGUUCAACAAACGGUACUUGUAAUUUUCUUUAGAUAAGGGUUCGUAAAUUGCCCAAUUAAGGAUCUCCUAAAGUGCUUUUCUCUCUUGUGGACUUUGAAAGAUAAUUGCAAAUUUUAUCUCGUAAAAGACAAGAUAUUCAGAAAGUAAUUUUUGUUCAAAACAGACUUUCUUGACCUGCCUCUCUUUGUCCACUUAUUGUGUAUUGUUCUGGUUUCACAUUAAAACUGUAGGAUGUGUUAAUCUGCCUUUCCCCUUUUUAUUAUUUAAUCUCUACUUUAUUUUAUACGUGAACAGUGUUCAUUGGUAAAGAACUUAAACAUCAGGCUCAUGCAGUGAUUUACAAUCAGGAAAUAAAACAGAAAUAUCCCAAAA
This is a long non-coding RNA of Spea bombifrons (plains spadefoot toad), 1966 nucleotides long. RefSeq lists it as uncharacterized. The transcript is spliced from 2 exons. The record is from RefSeq and is a predicted model, not a curated record. Lineage: Eukaryota; Metazoa; Chordata; Amphibia; Anura; Pelobatidae.